AUGUUUUGCGUAGACGCGUGCGAUCGUUACAGAAACACACAGGCAAAGACUGUCGGGUCAUUCCGGGAAUCCGCACAGCGCCGCGCUCUCGCAGCGCCGAGACGUAAUGACGGCCGGGCGCUUAACGGCCGCGCGCCCAACGGUCACGUGCUCGCGCGCCGCCCAACGGCCGCGGGCCGGGGGCGGCGGUGGGCGGGGCGCUCUCCCCUUUCCGCCGCGCCGCCGUCCUCUGCGCGUCACUUCCGGGUGCCGUCUCGCCGCCGCCGCCGCCGCCAGGAUGAUCCCGCCGGUGCAGGUGUCGCCGCUCAUCAAGACUACCUGAAGCCCAUCGCCGAGGAGGAGAGGCGAGUGGAGGCCGAGGAGAAGAAGAAGCGUGAGGAGCUAGAGCGGAUCGCAAGAGAGCUUGCAGAAGCAAGUGAAGAUUCCAUAUUGAAAUGAACAAAAGACUGGAUCAUACCUUCAUUCAUGGAAGUAUCUGGCUAGGCUCUGAACAGUUUAACUCUGCAUGUUAUUCUAUCAAUAAAGUACUUAUAACACUCUGGCUGUUUUUGUUG
This 554-nucleotide long non-coding RNA is filed under the name Apteryx owenii (little spotted kiwi). Its description in RNAcentral is "lncRNA (ENSAOWG00000017190.1)". Lineage: Eukaryota; Metazoa; Chordata; Aves; Apterygiformes; Apterygidae. The record is from RNAcentral.